GCUUAAGAUUGGUCUUUUUUAAAAUGCAACAAAUAUUAUAAGUAGCAAAGUCAACUCAACAAGCUUUACAUGAUAUAAAAGACCAAUCUUAAGCAUUCAAAAAGACAAUAAAAGAUUAACUAAUAGGUUAUGCUGUUCCUCAUAUACCAUUUUGCCCUAAUGACAACUCACACACACCAUUUCUACCUAUUCUUCUCCACGCACUUCAACACCUUCAUGCAAUUAUUCUUGCAUGAAGUAAUCAUUUCCAUGUGCCACAACCUUAAAUCUAAAUCCCAAUUCUUUUAACCACCUUCUUCACCUACUAUCUUAGAUGUCCAUUGAAGAAUCAUUGGAACUUGCAGGAUUUGGCUCCCUGUUCUGGUGCUGAAGAAAGUUGGG
RNAcentral lists this unclassified non-coding RNA (381 nucleotides) under Hevea brasiliensis (rubber tree). Lineage: Eukaryota; Viridiplantae; Streptophyta; Magnoliopsida; Malpighiales; Euphorbiaceae. The record is from RNAcentral.